ACCUACCUUGGAUGUCCAGUUGAAUGCUCUGCGUGGACCUCAGCGUGUUGCCAAUCACGUUGCAUGUGUAAUUUCCUGUGUCAUCAACUGUAACAUCCUGAAGCAGGAGGGAUGCAUUGCCCAUAGACAACUGGGAUGGAAAAAUGUGGGUUCUUCCUCUGAACUGGUGUGAAGUUAAAUCAGAAAGAUCUUCUCCAUCGAUAGUGUAGUGAA
Long non-coding RNA from Erpetoichthys calabaricus (reedfish), 213 nucleotides. RefSeq lists it as uncharacterized. The transcript is spliced from 2 exons. Lineage: Eukaryota; Metazoa; Chordata; Cladistia; Polypteriformes; Polypteridae. The record is from RefSeq and is a predicted model, not a curated record.